GACGAACGCUGGCGGCGUGCUUAACACAUGCAAGUCAAGGGGGAGUCGCAAGACUCAACCGGCGAACGGGUGCGUAACACGUGAGCGACCUACCUAAUUGUGGGGGAUAGCCGGCCCAACGGCCGGGUAAUACCGCAUACGAUCGGAGAGGGGCAUCCCUUUCUGAGGAAAGCCUUCGGGCGCAAUUUGAGGGGCUCGCGGCCUAUCAGCUAGUUGGCGGGGUAACGGCCCACCAAGGCGACGACGGUAGCUGGUCUGAGAGGAUGGCCAGCCACAUUGGGACUGAGACACGGCCCAGACUCCUACGGGAGGCAGCAGUGGGGAAUCUUGCGCAAUGGGCGAAAGCCUGACGCAGCGACGCCGCGUGAGGGAUGA
RNAcentral lists this ribosomal RNA (375 nucleotides) under uncultured bacterium. Its description in RNAcentral is "bacterial SSU rRNA". It matches the Rfam family "Bacterial small subunit ribosomal RNA", at positions 28 to 411 of the family's 1533-position model. The record is from RNAcentral.